UACAAACUGUUCCCACAAGGUUGGGAGCAUGGAAUUGUCCAAAAUGUUUUGGUUUCCUGAAGCAUUCAAAGUUCCUUUCACUGGAACUAAGGUGCCAAGCCCAGCUCCUGAAAAAAAGAAAAUGGACUCAUGGAUUCAAACCAGUCUCCUGACAGGACGUCACCAUCUCAGACCUCUGAGGUGAAUCUGUCACUGAAGAGCUCAUACAGUGACUCAGUCAUUCAUGGUCCAUCAGCUGAUUUACCUUCAGAUUUCUCACAACAUUUUAAUAAGCUUUCCUCACCUUCCACUGACAUGGAAUGUACACAAAUCAAAAGAUCAGAUGACAUGUUAUUCUCGGCAUCUGUUGACAAAACUACUUUAACCUCCCAUGUAAGCUCUACACUCACGGACACCUUGGUCCUUGAUGAUUGUAACGGUCCUCAACAAAGUGCUGGCCUCCAUUUUCAGGAUAAACCUCAAGGUGAAGUGAACCCAACUGCUCCCGAUCUCAGGAGGGUCAGUGAAAAUAUUGAGAACAAACAUCAGGAGGAGCUUGUCCAAAAAACAGAGUCCACUCACUUCCAACACUGUUGUGUCCUUAAGUCUGGAAACCACAACGCCAACAUUUGUAGAUGUGUCCAAGGACCUCACCAAUGUAAACUAUGACAUUGAUUUUCCCAAAGUAUGUGAUGGAGGACAAGAUGCAUCCGAAAACAUGACGGUGGGCUGUACCUUAGAAAUGCUGCAGGCAAGCAACGACAAGGGAAUCAGUUUAGGUUUUAAACCAACACCCAAAGCACAAGGACAAUCACUCCCACCUUAAACUCAGAAAACCUUCAUCGAAGGUCAACUGCUGCCUUUAUCUUCUUCGUCCUCAUCAACCCUGCCCAAUAAUCAAUCUGUUAUUAUUUCAAAAUCCAAUCAAACUGGAGAUUUGAAUGAAGCACCAGUGCCUUCACCUGACUCUCCUACUGAGGUAAGAACAAAACUCACGAUGUGCAACACACUGUGUUCUACUAAAGACACUAACCCAAACACAGUCAUUAGCUCAAAUGGCUCAAAUCAACUAUCUCCUACAAUGUCCGGCUCAUCCAGACUGAUCAUGAAGGCAUCAUAAAGAUGAAGCUUAUCCACCAAAGCUGCCUUGUCUGCAGACUACAAUCCGUUCUCUGUCUGACAUAAAAUCAAGUCUUUUUUGGCUCACUUUGACAAACCUGUGGCUAAAAGCAGUGACAUUCAGUCUUUUGCUUUGACCUACAGAGCUUCGCUGAACCAGAGGAUCGCUGGUUACAUGGGUUUAGUCAAUUCUUCCGGUUCUAGGACCCGACAAAAGUUUCAGCUCUCAUGUGGAAAACAGAAACUCUGUAGCAACCUCUACGUCUCUUCUCGCUAAACCUUCAUUCAGCAUUACAGACCUGGGCCUUGACUAUUCACAGAAGGGCUGUAGCACAGCUGCUCCAUUGAUGAGCAGUCCAGUAGUGACGGUCCCACAGACCCCUCCAGUGUUACGGAGGAAACAUGGUCAGCUCUCGCGCAGCAGGUCACAGCAGCUCAGGGCCCUCAGUAUGCCUGAAUUGGAGAAACUAUGCACAGAGGACUUUCCAAUUGGGAAUGAUGCAGCUGUGAAUGAAACAAACACUGACAGUCUGACAAAAGUAGCAGAGACAGGAAGCACUCCAUCCUCUGAGACUGUGACACAGGUGGAUUUAAACAGACGGAGCCAAGGCCAACCUGGAUCCAUGGGGAAGGAGCCUCAAACCCCCCCAGAUACCAAGGCUGGAUGGUCAAUCAGUUUAAAAGAGUUGGUGACGUCUCCUGAGACCCAACAUGAACUGCAGAAUCUCCUGCUUUCCCUCACAAUGAGGUCAUAUGUCAUGACCUUGAUUCAAAAGGUCAAAGUCUAGCCUAUCUGAGCUGAUAAGUGACACUCACCUUGUGGUCCUGAGUAAAGAUGAAGGCUCAGGUCUGGACUUCAGUGUCUCAGGAGGAGUUGACCUUGAGCAGAAGGCUGUGACUGUCCAUCAAGUCUUCUCCAAAGGUGCAGCAGGUCUGGAGGGAACAAUCAUUGUCGUGUCUAUAAACAGUACAAGUCUGGAGGACACCUCACACAGCAAGAAUCUUUCAGUGUUCACUACUGUAUUUCUCAGUUGCAGAUGUUUCUUCAGACGGAGCUAAAAUGGCGGAGCUUUCUAAAGAGUCCUCAGGUGUGGGCUUUGGUCUUGAAGGACAAAAGUCUUUAAAAUGUGGAAACAGACCUCUGCUGGUGAACCGCAUUUCUAAAGGUGACCUGUUCUCCAUAAGUCUGUGAGAAAGUAGAUAUUAGAGGUAAAUGCCUGUCCAUGGAAUCACAUCAUGUUACGCUGUUGUGUGUUAUUCACAUCCUGUGUGUAAAACGCCUGAUAUUUAAGUGAAUGUGAGAUGAAUAUCUUUCCUUUGCCUUUUGUUUUGAUUAAAUGAGACACUGAUGCUGUCAUUGCUGUUAUAGCUGACAUAGCACUGUCACACCAGAAGAUACAAUUGGUUAGAGAAUGCCAAAGUUUUUACGUCUUCAGUAGGUCUGAUUUACUUCCACACUGCAUUUUUGAAAGCAGACCAAAAACUCUGGACAACAGUUGCAACAGCUCUCCACCUGAGGGGGGGGCUCUCGCUCCACUUAUUAUUAACAGGGACUGUGUGGAGAGUCUCCUCCAUGAGGUAUCUGGGGGGUCCACCAACACAUCAGCAGUGGUUCAAAAGGCUGAACCUUCUCGGGUUACUGAGGAAAAACCACUUGGAGGUCAAAGUGCUGCUGACCCUCCAUCAAUAAUAGAACAACAGUAGAGAGUGUUCAGGUGCAGGGCAUCACAUUGGGAGACCCUGACUGCACAGCAGCAGACAGGAAAGUCCUGCAGUGAGUGAUAAAGACAGCACAGAAAAUCAUCAGCUGCCCUCUGCCCUCCCUGCAGGACAUCCCCAGGUCCUGGCAUCUCACCAAGACAAGGAAAAUCCAGUCUGACGUCUCACACUCUGGUCUGAGUCUCUUUAGCCUCCUGCGUUCUGGCAGGAGAAUAAAGAGAAUAAGAAGCAGAACAAAUCAUUUAAAAACAUGACACUGCCUUGUAUUCCAAGCCUUAUAGUAUUGCUACCUUUGUACAUGUUGGAAGAAUUUAAUUUAUUAUCAUUGCUUCAUGCUGUACUGUCGCUUUAAGGAACUGUUUGCUUCUCAUAUUAUAAUCUAGUGUGCUCAAGACUGAUGGAGAAAUUACCAGACAC
Cynoglossus semilaevis (tongue sole) is the source of this 3234-nucleotide long non-coding RNA. RefSeq lists it as uncharacterized. The transcript is spliced from 5 exons. NCBI's taxonomy places the organism in Eukaryota, Metazoa, Chordata, Actinopteri, Pleuronectiformes, Cynoglossidae. The record is from RefSeq and is a predicted model, not a curated record.